CAAAUCCCACGGUGAAGUCAUCUAAAAAAAGUGACAUAAUUAUGAGUAGGAUUCUGUGUUUUCACAUGCAAAAGUGAUUCGUUUUGAUAAAAAUGCUUUACGUGCCUCCCCAAUGAAAACUAGUUUGAAAAUUCAAACGUAUAUUUUACGGAAAAAAUAUGUUGUAUGUUUCUGGAAGAUGCACCAUGCUGCCUUUAUUUUGACAUCAUGGCCGAUCAGCGCAGAAUACUGCUCCAUUUGAGAAAGGCGCUCCUCCCUCACCGCUUUUUCCCGUUCAAGUCAUGGGCCAUAGACCGAUGCCCCACGGCUCAGCAUAAUCAAAUCCGACGAUUCACAGCUGACAGGGCUUCUAUCCAGUCUCUGUGUUCUGUUAAUGUGUUAAUUGUAAGUAGUCUUAUCCUGAGUACAACUUGUGUUUGGUAAUUGUGCGGACAUGGAGACAGCCAGCAAAGGUUUUAUGAUGGGACAGGAUCAAUGGAGACCACACCUGGAUGCUGCUCUCAAACUCUCCCGACUAAACCUGCUGUCUCUCAUGGAUCCCUCCAACUCUCAAACUCACUUGACUCAACAUGCUGGCUCUCAGGGUCCCUCCAAAUGCCUUCUACAAGAAGAUGGAGGGGAUCUUUGCGGAUCAUGGUUACCAUGAGAAGAACUGAGAAGUUCAGACGUAAAUUGGGAAACAUGCUAAGGACUUACAAACAGGCCAAAGAACGUUGCCGGGAGACAGGCCAAGGGAGAACCACUUGGCUGUGUUUUGAGGUUAAUGUCUCUCUGGUGCAUAGGGUUAUGAUUAACACAAUAUGAUCUUCAGGAUUUCUUAUUCCCCUCAGGUAAUGAAUGACAUACAGUUUAUAAAUCAUUCACUAUUUAUUCUAACAAAAGUUUAAACAAAAAAAAACAUGUUUUGGUGUUCACACAUGUAUUUGUUUGAUUUACAAAGUCUGAACAGGACCAAGAAAAACAUCUACCGGUAUACUGAAAUUGAGAUGGUUGGCUCUAUUCUUAUGCAUUUCACUGUUCCUGUGCAUGUGACAAUAACACUUGAACUCAGAGGAGAAGGUGGUUCGAGACCUCAAUGCUGGAGGGAGUGGCUGCCAUGCAGCACAUUCUUCAGCAGAUGCUUAUAAGUCAGAAAGAAAGGGUUACACUGUUGAAAAAGGAAAAUAAAUGAUGCUUGACAUUC
Oncorhynchus kisutch (coho salmon) is the source of this 1183-nucleotide long non-coding RNA. RefSeq lists it as uncharacterized. NCBI's taxonomy places the organism in Eukaryota, Metazoa, Chordata, Actinopteri, Salmoniformes, Salmonidae. The transcript has 3 exons. The record is from RefSeq and is a predicted model, not a curated record.